RNAcentral lists this ribosomal RNA (270 nucleotides) under Triticum aestivum (bread wheat). Its description in RNAcentral is "partial small subunit ribosomal RNA". Lineage: Eukaryota; Viridiplantae; Streptophyta; Magnoliopsida; Poales; Poaceae. The record is from RNAcentral.
AUGGAGAUGGGUGUGCAGGUCAUCGACGUGGGGUUGCUGCGCGCGUAUGCCGAGGUGAUCAUCACGGGCGACGACUCGAGGAGGCCGACGAACAGGACGCCCUUGGACCGGCAUGGCAGGGGAGGCUAUGUAUCACACGUUGCUCUAGUUGCCAUGUAUCCUGGAUGCCGCCGACCACGGGGGCUCUGGCUGCACGUGUUUCCCGGCCGCCUCCGAGCAGGAGGGCUCUCGCGAUGUGUUGCUUUGUAUCCCGGCCACCGCGGACAGUGA